AAUUCUUCCUAUUCGGGAAGGAUGAGAAGCUUCGACCAAGGUUCGAUUCGAGCGUUAGCGAGAAAGCGUUGCCGCAGGCAACGACCCGAAGGGCGAAGCGCGCAGCGCUUAGUAAUCCUUCCCCCACCACCA
RNAcentral lists this small RNA (132 nucleotides) under Citrobacter freundii. RNAcentral describes it as "RtT sRNA". It matches the Rfam family "RtT RNA". Rfam says of the family: This family represents a bacterial cis-regulatory element known as RtT RNA. The exact function of RtT is unknown although it is thought that it may be involved in changing the cellular response in relation to amino acid starvation. Lineage: Bacteria; Pseudomonadati; Pseudomonadota; Gammaproteobacteria; Enterobacterales; Enterobacteriaceae. The record is from RNAcentral.